Molecule: ribosomal RNA, 385 nt
Filed under: uncultured bacterium
Lineage: Bacteria
Description: bacterial SSU rRNA
Rfam family: Bacterial small subunit ribosomal RNA
Source: RNAcentral
AUUGAACGCUGGCGGCAUGCCUUACACAUGCAAGUCGAACGGUAACGGGCCUUCGGGUGCCGACGAGUGGCGAACGGGUGAAUAAUGCAUCGGAACGUACCUUUCAGUGGGGGAUAACGUAGCGAAAGUUACGCUAAUACCGCAUAUUCUGUGAGCAGGAAAGCAGGGGAUCGCAAGACCUUGCGCUGAUUGAGCGGCCGAUGUCAGAUUAGCUAGUUGGUGAGGUAAAGGCUCACCAAGGCGACGAUCUGUAGCGGGUCUGAGAGGAUGAUCCGCCACACUGGAACUGAGACACGGUCCAGACUCCUACGGGAGGCAGCAGUGGGGAAUUUUGGACAAUGGGGGGCAACCCUGAUCCAGCCAUGCCGCGUGAGUGAAGAAGGCC